UCUUAUCGUCAAGCUCUGCCAACUGAAGCCAUUUUUCCCACUACUAUGAAGCUAACCGGAAGAAGAAGAAACUAAAUUGAUUAAAAAUGGCCUUGUCGACGGCGAAAUUCACAGAAUUGCCACCACAUUUGUUCUCCUCGUUUUCUACUCCUUCUACUCGACCUGCAUUCUCUCUUUUCCUUAAACCCUUCUCAUCUCUUCGCCGCACCGGCGGCAACACCAGAACCAACAACAGGGAUCAACGGAAACCCUACCGAGAUUCAAAUUCCAAUUCUACCCCUGUGAAGUCCAAGCCAAACAAAUCUCACUCGUCUACUUGGCUAAACAAAUGGCCCAACACAUCUCCUCCAGUAGAACAUUCGUCGUCCAAUUCUAGAACUUUCGAUUCCAACACGGAAACUAAGUACUUCGACGAGAACAAUAGUAGAGUAGGGACCACCGCCAUAGAGAGGAUUGUACUCCGUUUGAGAAACUUAGGAUUAGGCUCUGACGAUGAAAAUGAAGAAGAGGAAAAUUCGAAUUUGAAUUCUAGUUCGGCAGUGCCGAGUAUCGGCGAAGAAGAAAAAUUAGGGGAUUUAUUGAAGAGAGAUUGGGUUCGACCGGAUAUGAUACUAGCAGAGAGUGAUGAUGAUGAGGGAGAUGAUACAUUGUUGCCGUGGGAACGGAGUGUGGAGGAUGGAGAGGUGGUGGUGGAGGAGCAGAGGGGAGGGAAGAGGAGGACAAUGAAGGCACCAACAUUGGCUGAGCUAACAAUUGAGGAUGAGGAAUUGAGGAGGCUGAGGAGAAAUGGUAUGACUUUGAGAGAAAGGGUUAGUGUACCUAAGGCUGGGAUUACAGGAGCUGUGUUGGAGAAGAUUCACGAUGCUUGGAGGAAGAAUGAGCUGGUUAGGCUCAAGUUUCAUGAGGUUUUGGCUCAUGAUAUGAGGACUGGCCACGAGAUUGUUGAGCGUCGAACAGGAGGGCUUGUGAUAUGGAGGGCUGGGAGCGUUAUGGUGGUGUAUCGAGGAAGUAACUAUGAGGGGCCUUCUUCUAGAUCUCGAUCCGUGGAUGAGGACGGCAAUACUCUCUUUGUUCCCGAUGUUUCCUCUGACAAAUCUAUUGCAAAAGACGGCAAAAGCUCUAAUCCAGUUAUUGAAAAUCGUAAUCAAGUUCAUCCUCAUCGUGUCCAAAACAUGACUGAGGAGGAAGCAGAAUUCAAUAGGCUAUUAGAUGGUUUAGGCCCACGUUAUGAAGAUUGGUGGGGUACAGGAGUACUUCCUGUUGAUGCCGAUUUGCUCCCCCAGACAAUUCCUGGCUACAAAACACCAUUCCGGCUUCUUCCUACUGGAAUGAGAUCACGCCUAACAAAUGCAGAAAUGACUAAUUUACGGAAAAUUGCUAAAUCACUUCCUUGUCAUUUUGCUCUCGGGAGAAAUAGAAAUCAUCAAGGGCUGGCUGCUGCUAUAAUCAAGCUUUGGGAGAAGAGUUUAGUUGUUAAAAUUGCAGUCAAACGUGGAAUUCAGAAUACAAACAACAAGCUGAUGGCUGAGGAGUUAAAGAAAUUAACUGGGGGAGUCCUACUACUUAGAAACAAAUAUUACAUUAUCUUUUAUCGAGGAAAGGAUUUCCUUCCACCUACUGUUGCGGCUGCUUUAGCAGAAAGGCAAGAGAUAACAAAACAGAUCCAAGAUGUUGAAGAGAAAACGCGGAGCAGUCCUGCUGAAGCGACACCAUUGGGCACAGAUGGACAGGCUGUUGCCGGUACUUUAGCCGAAUUUUAUGAGGCUCAGGCUCGGUGGGGAAGAGAAAUAUCUGCUGAAGAACGUGACAAAAUGUUAAAAGAAGCAGCUAGAGCUAAGAUUGAUAGAGUAGUCAAGCGGCUUGAACAUAAACUUGAGCUUUCCCAGGCCAAGAAGCUUAAAGUAGAGAAGAUUUUAGCUAAGAUUGUGGACUCCUGGAUUCCUGCUGGUCCUUCUGAUGACCUGGAAACAAUAACAGAGGAAGAAAGGGUCAUGUACCGUAGAGUUGGAUUAAGAAUGAAGUCAUACCUUCCACUUGGUAUUCGUGGUGUCUUUGAUGGUGUUAUUGAGAACAUGCAUCUGCAUUGGAAACACAGAGAACUUGUAAAGUUAAUAUCAAAGGAAAAAGAACUUGCUUUUGUUGAAGAAACAGCUAGACUUUUGGAAUAUGAAAGUGGUGGGAUUCUAGUGGCAAUAGAUAAAGUGCCAAAAGGUUAUGCUCUUAUUUUCUACCGUGGGAAGAACUAUAGGCGGCCCAUCAGCCUCAGGCCAAGGAACCUUCUGACAAAAGCAAAAGCACUAAAACGUAGAGUGGCACUACAGCGUUACGAGGCUCUCAGUCAGCAUAUGACCGCGCUGGAGACGUCAAUAGAGCAAACGAAAAGGCAAAUUGGUGAUGUUGGUAAUGCAGACAUCAAUACUAGCAACUUGGAGGCGCUUGAUCAGUUCAAUCAUGUCUCAGAAUUUUCCCAAAGUCAAGAUGAAGGUUCAUCGCUGGAGUUUGAUAGUGACGAGGAUGAAGAUCCUGAAUGGGAAAAUGAUGAUGAUUCAGAAUACUCCAGUCUCGAGGACAAUGAAACAGGAUAACAGCAUUUCAUGGCUAAUUCCUUAAGAGGAACUGCAUUAUCAUGGCCAUAGUCCUAUUGAGAUACACUGGAAAUGAAAAAGAAACACAUUAACCAAAAGUGAUAAGAACUACUCAUAUUGACCAAGUAUGAUACUGUAUCUUGCAGCCACAACAAUCAUCUUUCUGAGGUUAAUAAAUCUCCCAAGUAUUUGCUUAUGGCCAUUGAUGGAGCCUUUGGAUCACUGGUCGAUUCAAAAUUUGGAAGGGCUUCUCAUCGUGCAAUUCAUCCAAGCUCAACUGGCCCGAAUUGUACAUUGACGGAUUAGCUGGAGGGCUCGUCUGCUGAUGCCCAGACUUUACUAUCAACUCAUAGCUUUGGACCUUUGGUGAACAUUGUAAUGAGUGUAGAUGUAAUUGCUUUGUCAACCAUUUUUUUGGUUCUUCCAGUUUUUGUAAUUACUUUGCUGAAUCAUAGAGAAAACAAUGAGAAGGAUGCAUCACAUAUCAAGGAAAGAAAGAAGAGAUCUGAAAAGAUAACAAGAAUAAGUUAUCCCUCCAUUUUUAACUAGUAAAAGAUUUUAGGUUUUCUACUGAAUCUAUAAGAAGAGAAUCUUUGUGAUUCCACUAAACUAUAGAGACAACUUUUAUGUGGUUCCUACUUCUUGAGAAACUCUUCUCAUCUUUCAGGG
Nicotiana tabacum (common tobacco) is the source of this 3254-nucleotide non-coding RNA. Lineage: Eukaryota; Viridiplantae; Streptophyta; Magnoliopsida; Solanales; Solanaceae. The record is from RefSeq and is a predicted model, not a curated record.